Vespa mandarinia (Asian giant hornet) is the source of this 452-nucleotide long non-coding RNA. NCBI's taxonomy places the organism in Eukaryota, Metazoa, Arthropoda, Insecta, Hymenoptera, Vespidae. The record is from RefSeq and is a predicted model, not a curated record.
AAUAUGAUUAUUUAAUAUGCGUUCGAAAAGCUCAUAUAAAAAAAAAGAAAAUACGAUUCAUUUAAUUUAAGUAUUGGAAGUUAAUAUAUUACUUCAUGUUGAUGAGCAAAACCAGGACUUCUAAGUCUACAUCGAUAUGGUUUAGAGCUACCAUCACUAACAAGAUAAACUCCAAAUUCACCCUUUGGUGCUUCAAUGGAUGUGUAUGUAGCACCCGGUGGUACUUGAAAACCUUGUGAAAAUAAUUUGAAGUGAUGGAUAAGUGCUUCCAUACUGGUUUUCAUUUCUUUCUUGCUUGGCGGUACAAUUUUGACAUCAUCACAUUUCACUUCACCGCAUGGAAUUUGAUUUAGACAUUGAUAAAUUAUUCUAAGUGAUUGACGCAUUUCCGUAAUGCGUAUGAGAUAUCUAUAUUCCAAUAAACAUAAUUUAAUAAAUACAAAUACUCUUAU